Molecule: non-coding RNA, 27 nt
Filed under: Bombyx mori (domestic silkworm)
Lineage: Eukaryota; Metazoa; Arthropoda; Insecta; Lepidoptera; Bombycidae
Source: RNAcentral
UGAUGUCGAUGCGCUACCCCCGGACAC